CCUUCCUGCACUGGGGAUUUUACACACUCUCUGAAGACUAUCGAUGUCUCUUCUCAGGCAGCUAACAAUAAAGAGAGCCUUCGCCUGAAGAAGGUUAGAGUCACAGAAGCGCCCCUCCCCCCAUUCACACUCACACACAGCUCGUUUCCAGAGUGCUGCAUGGCUUGAAGAGAAGUCGAUGUGAAAGAUGCCACGGAGCAACGGAGGGGGACAGGGGUUCCAGCCCCCAUUCUGAGACCAAGUCGUGUUACCCAGGUUACCCUGGCCUCUCCUCUCCUCCGUGUGUCAAGGAGGGGGCGACGACUGCAGAAUGCCGAUUUCCAAUCGUGCGCCGUCCCCACCUCCUUGUAGGACCUUCCUGGCCCUGGGCCUUGGCUCCCUCCUCGUUAACAGGAGGGCGGCCUCGGGGCUCUCCCCCUCUUUGGGGCUACCGUUAAACACUAUCCAACAUGCCUUCCACGCGGCCCUCUAAACCCUAGAAGAGCAGGAGCUCCAGCCAGCCAAGCGCGCUGGCUGCUGAGGCCACAGGCCUUCUCCGGGGCUUCCGCCGGGAAAGCUCUGACUGGGUGAGAGAGCUGCGGAGCAUUUUAGGGUCUAUUUACCACUCGGCCCAGCCACCACCUACCAGAGGUAGAGUCAAGGAGCCAUUUUCCCUACCAAAUAGGCCUCCCUUCCACAUUCCCCGCUGCACCCCAGGGAUCCCUGCGGCGACUACAUGAAAAGGGCUGAGACUUCGAACACUGACAAAGAGAUUGCAGGAAGGGCUUUGCUUCAAGCCUGAGCUCUUGACACAUGCCAUUCCGAAGAAUCAGACUGACUAAUUGGAAAUAGCCUGGUGAAAUAGAUAGAAAGCUAACCUUGAAGGUAGAAAGACCUAGAUUCAGGUCUCAUUUGUGAAACAUCGCGGCAAUGUGACCCUCAAUAAAUCACUUAACUUCUCA
Long non-coding RNA from Monodelphis domestica (gray short-tailed opossum), 941 nucleotides. RefSeq lists it as uncharacterized. Lineage: Eukaryota; Metazoa; Chordata; Mammalia; Didelphimorphia; Didelphidae. The record is from RefSeq and is a predicted model, not a curated record.